CCCUCUCGGGUUACCGAAUUCAGACAAACUCCGAAUGCCAAUCAAUUUAACUUGGGAGUCAGAACAUGGGUGAUAAGGUCCGUGUUCGAAAGGGAAACAGCCCAGACCACCAGCUAAGGUCCCAAAAUAUAUGUUAAGUGGAAAAGGAUGUGGCGUUGCCCAGACAACUAGGAUGUUGGCUUAGAAGCAGCCAUCAUUUAAAGAGUGCGUAAUAGCUCACUAGUCGAGUGACACUGCGCCGAAA
RNAcentral lists this ribosomal RNA (244 nucleotides) under Staphylococcus sp. HMSC62A08. RNAcentral's name for it is "partial 23S ribosomal RNA". It matches the Rfam family "Bacterial large subunit ribosomal RNA", at positions 926 to 1169 of the family's 2925-position model. The record is from RNAcentral. Lineage: Bacteria; Bacillati; Bacillota; Bacilli; Caryophanales; Staphylococcaceae.